AUCACCCUGGGCGAAAGGGGGCGUCAUGAAAAUCUGGAUCCUGAUUUAACUGAAAAUCAGCAGGCUCUGCCAAAGGACUUCAAGGUAUCCUUUUUAAUUGCCGCUGCUUAAGAAAAUGGAAUGGAGUGAACUGCCAGGAGCGGCUUCCUCUGCUGGCUGCAGCUGCUGAAGCACAAAUGCAGGGGAACUCCCACUCUGUCACCGAAAUCACAGCUGACAGCACUGAGCCCUUCGGCCUCUUGGAGGAGCACCAGCUUAACAUUACAGCUGAAUUCUGGGGCCUGACUUUCCCCGCGUAUGUGUUGGCUCCUUGCAUACUUUGUGCAAUCCAUCGGGCCAAUUCGGGAGGAUACUGGCUAGAGUCAAUGGCAGGAGCUGCUACAGAGCCUCCAUGGGUA
Chelonoidis abingdonii (Abingdon island giant tortoise) is the source of this 398-nucleotide long non-coding RNA. RefSeq lists it as uncharacterized. NCBI's taxonomy places the organism in Eukaryota, Metazoa, Chordata, Testudines, Testudinidae. The record is from RefSeq and is a predicted model, not a curated record.